GCAUAGAGAGGGAGGAAUCUGACUUUCUAGGUUAGACAUGUUUGUUAUUAAAUCUGGUAUUUUGUCCUAAUAAACCACUACAGCAUGCUGAGCAUGCUGUAGUUCUGCAACAAAGCCCUUCGAUGCUAGUCUCUGUUUGCAGCAUCUGUGAUAGACUCAUAUGUCUACUGUUUAAAGGGUUUUGAAAAAGCUUUGUUAUGAGCCCUUCGAUGGUGGGUUUAUCCCCUAGCCCAC
RNAcentral lists this small RNA (234 nucleotides) under Histoplasma capsulatum. RNAcentral's name for it is "hypothetical RNA". The record is from RNAcentral. Lineage: Eukaryota; Fungi; Ascomycota; Eurotiomycetes; Onygenales; Ajellomycetaceae. RNAcentral also lists the same sequence under 1 other name.